RNAcentral lists this ribosomal RNA (341 nucleotides) under uncultured bacterium. RNAcentral's name for it is "bacterial SSU rRNA". It matches the Rfam family "Bacterial small subunit ribosomal RNA", at positions 28 to 367 of the family's 1533-position model. The record is from RNAcentral.
GACGAACGCUGGCGGCGUGCCUAACACAUGCAAGUCGAGCGAGUGGAUCUCCUUCGGGAGAGAAGCUAGCGGCGGACGGGUGAGUAACACGUGGGCAACCUGCCUCAUAGAGGGGAAUAGCCUCCCGAAAGGGAGAUUAAUACCGCAUAAGAUUGUAGCUUCGCAUGAAGUAGCAAUUAAAGGAGCAAUCCGCUAUGAGAUGGGCUCGCGUCCGAUUAGCUAGUGGUGAGAUAACAGCCCACCAAGGCGACGAUCGGUAGCCGACCUGAGAGGGUGAUCGGCCACAUUGGAACUGAGACACGGCCCAGACUCCUACGGGAGGCAGCAGUGGGGAAUCUUCC